UUGAAAUUCUGGGUCUUUCCAGAGUCCGAGUUGUAAUUUGCAGAGGGCGCUUUGGCUUUGGCAGCGGUCCAAGUUCCUUGGAACAGGACGUCACAGAGGGUGAGAAUCCCGUACGUGGUCGCUAGCUAUUGCCGUGUAAAGCCCCUUCGACGAGUCGAGUUGUUUGGGAAUGCAGCUCUAAAUGGGAGGUAAAUUUCUUCUAAAGCUAAAUAUUGGCCAGAGACCGAUAGCGCACAAGUAGAGUGAUCGAAAGAUGAAAAGCACUUUGGAAAGAGAGUCAAACAGCACGUGAAAUUGUUGAAAGGGAAGCGCUUGCAGCCAGACUUGCUUGCAGUUGCUCAUCCGGGCUUUUGCCCGGUGCACUCUUCUGCAGGCAGGCCAGCAUCAGUUUGGGCGGUGGGAUAAAGGUCUCUGACACGUUCCUUCCUUCGGGUUGGCCAUAUAGGGGAGACGUCAUACCACCAGCCUGGACUGAGGUCCGCGCAUCUGCUAGGAUGCUGGCGUAAUGGCUGUAAGCGGCCCGUCUUGAAACACGGACCAAGGAGUCUAACAUCUAUGCGAGUGUUUGGGUGUCAAGCCCGAGCGCGUAAUGAAAGUGAACGGAGGUGGGAACCCGCAAGGGCGCACCAUCGACCGAUCCUGAAGUUUACGGAAGGAUUUGAGUAAGAGCAUGGCUGUUGGGACCCGAAAGAUGGUGAACUAUGCUUGAAUAGGGUGAAGCCAGAGGAAACUCUGGUGGAGGCUCGCAGCGGUUCUGACGUGCAAAUCGAUCGUCAAAUUUGGGCAUAGGGA
This 792-nucleotide ribosomal RNA is filed under the name Curvularia lunata. Its description in RNAcentral is "partial large subunit ribosomal RNA". It matches the Rfam family "Eukaryotic large subunit ribosomal RNA", at positions 114 to 923 of the family's 3401-position model. Lineage: Eukaryota; Fungi; Ascomycota; Dothideomycetes; Pleosporales; Pleosporaceae. The record is from RNAcentral.